UGAGUGUGUGUGUGUGUCUGUUAGUGUGUGUGUCUGCACACACUAACAGUCACACACACACACUCAGU
This 68-nucleotide microRNA precursor is filed under the name Pelobates cultripes (western spadefoot toad). Lineage: Eukaryota; Metazoa; Chordata; Amphibia; Anura; Pelobatidae. The record is from RNAcentral.